GCCCGGCUGGCACAAUUGGUUAGCGCGUGGGCCUUUUAUAUCUACUAUGAAAGAUAAGCCCAAGGUUGAGAGUUCGAGCCUCUCGUCGGGCG
This is a non-coding RNA of Amylocarpus encephaloides, 92 nucleotides long. The record is from the annotation of a GenBank genome assembly. Lineage: Eukaryota; Fungi; Ascomycota; Leotiomycetes; Helotiales.